UGGGGAAUCUUGGACAAUGGGGGCAACCCUGAUCCAGCCAUGCCGCGUGAGUGAUGAAGGCCUUAGGGUCGUAAAGCUCUUUCGCCUGUGAAGAUAAUGACGGUAGCAGGUAAAGAAACCCCGGCUAACUCCGUGCCAGCAGCCGCGGUAAUACGGAGGGGGUUAGCGUUGUUCGGAAUUACUGGGCGUAAAGCGCACGUAGGCGGACCAGAAAGUUGGGGGUGAAAUCCCGGGGGCUCAACCCCGGAACUGCCUCCAAAACUAUUGGUCUAGAGUUCGAGAGAGGUGAGUGGAAUUCCAAGUGUAGAGGUGAAAUUCGUAGAUAUUUGGAGGAACACCAGUGGCGAAGGCGGCUCACUGGCUCGAUACUGACGCUGAGGUGCGAAAGUGUGGGGAGCAAACAGGAUUAGAUACCCUGGUAGUCCACACCGUAAACGAUGAAUGCCAGUCGUCGGGUAGCAUGCUAUUCGGUGACACACCUAACGGAUUAAGCAUUCCGCCUGGGGAGUACGGU
Molecule: ribosomal RNA, 514 nt
Filed under: uncultured bacterium
Lineage: Bacteria
Description: bacterial SSU rRNA
Rfam family: Bacterial small subunit ribosomal RNA
Source: RNAcentral